This 2357-nucleotide small RNA is filed under the name Pongo abelii (Sumatran orangutan). Its description in RNAcentral is "retained intron". Lineage: Eukaryota; Metazoa; Chordata; Mammalia; Primates; Hominidae. The record is from RNAcentral.
CUCUCCUUGCAGCAGCCCCUGUCAAAGGGAACAGGAAGCAGUCCACGGAGGGUGACGCCCUAGACACACCUGCAUCCCCCACACCUGCUGGCGAGCAGAACGGGAUCCAGAACCCCACCUCACUGGAGUUAACCUGUGGAAGAUCUACAAGGCAGUGGAGAAGCUGGGGGCCUAUGAGCUGGUAAGGAAGGCACCUCCCAGUCCUUGCCAAACUGCAUAUCCCUGGGGUGAGCCUGCAGCGCUGUCCUUGCCUCUGGACAGAGGAAGAGCCAGGAUCCCCAGUCCUGCCCCUGCGUCCCUGCCUCCCUGCCUCCCCCGCUGGUACUCUGCUGCUCAAAGCAGCUUUUCAGCCUUCCCCAUCUGUUCUGCCCGCCCCGUAUUGGGAAAACUGCUUGGGCCAGCAGUCCGUGGCCCUAGGAGGGAGAAUCGGCUGGCCGCUGCUGGAGCCGCAGAGCAGCUGCCAAACUGCAGUCUUUCGAGUCCCUGCGAGGGCGGCCGGAGCUGCAAGGACCCCGCCGCCAGGGGGCGCCCGCUGGCCGCGCCCUCACGAGGUGCCCUUGCAGGUGACCGGGCGCCGCCUCUGGAAGAACGUGUACGACGAGCUGGGGGGCAGCCCGGGCAGCACCAGCGCGGCCACGUGCACGCGCCGCCACUACGAGAGGCUGGUCCUGCCAUACGUGCGGCACCUGAAGGGGGAGGAUGACAAGCCGCUGCCCACCUCCAAGCCCAGGAAACAGUACAAGAUGGCUAAGGAGAACAGGGGGGAUGAUGGGGCCACCGAGAGGCCGAAGAAGGCCAAGGAGGAGCGGCGCGUGGACCAGAUGAUGCCAGGAAAGACCAAAGCAGAUGCUGCUGACCCAGCACCACUUCCCAGCCAGGAGCCCCCCAGGAACAGCACAGAACAGCAGGGCCCAACCUCUGGGUCUUCUGUGUCCUUUGUGGGUGCCAGCGGCUGUCCUGAGGCCUACAAGCGGCUCCUAUCCAGCUUCUACUGCAAGGGGACACACGGCAUCAUGUCACCGCUGGCCAAAAAGAAGCUCCUGGCCCAGGUGAGCAAGGUGGAGGCCUUGCAGUGCCAGGAGGAGGGCUGCCGCCAUGGGGCAGAGCCCCAGGCGUCCCCAGCUGUUCACCUCCCAGAGAGUCCCCAGAGCCCCAAAGGGCUGACUGAGAACUCCAGGCAUCGGCUGACCCCUCAGGAGGGAUUGCAGGCCCCGGGUGGCAGCCUCAGGGAGGAGGCGCAGGCGGGCCCCUGCCCGGCAGCCCCCAUCUUCAAGGGCUGCUUCCACACCCACCCCACCGAGGUGCUGAAGCCUGUCAGCCAGCACCCCAGGGACUUCUUCUCUAGACUUAAAGAUGGGGUGCUAUUGGGGCCUCCUGGCAAAGAGGGGCUGUCAGUGAAAGAGCCCCAGCUGGUGUGGGGCGGGGACGCUAACCGCCCUUCUGCAUUCCACAAAGGUGGCUCCAGAAAGGGCGUCGUCUACCCCAAGCCUAAAGCCUGCUGGGUGUCCCCCAUGGCCAAGGUCCCAGCCGAGAGCCCCACGCUCCCACCCACCUUCCCCAGUAGCCCAGGCCUGGGCAGCAAGCGCAGCCUGGAGGAAGAGGGUGCUGCCCACAGUGGGAAGAGACUGCGGGCCGUGUCUCCCUUUCUUAAGGAGGCGGAUGCCAAGAAGUGUGGGGCCAAACCUGCAGGGUCCGGCCUGGUCUCCUGCCUUCUGGGCCCAGCCCUGGGGCCUGUGCCUCCAGAGGCCUACAGGGGCACCAUGCUGCACUGCCCGCUGAACUUCACUGGCACCCCAGGCCCCUUGAAGGGCCAGGCUGCACUCCCCUUCAGCCCCCUGGUCAUCCCGGCCUUCCCGGCCCACUUCCUGGCCACUGCAGGCCCCUCGCCUGUGGCCGCUGGCCUGAUGCACUUCCCCCCAACGUCCUUCGACAGUGCCCUCCGCCACAGACUUUGCCCGGCCUCAUCUGCCUGGCACGCACCACCAGUCACAACCUAUGCAGCGCCCCACUUCUUCCACCUCAACACCAAGCUGUAGGCCAGCCCAUGGUGUUGUGUACACUGUGGAGUCGACAGGGGCCUACAACAGGCAGAUGCUGCUGCCAGGGGGCUCUGAACUAGUGCCUGCUACGCAGGACACCCGGGCCAUGCCCCUGGCUGGGCAGCCUGGCACAAGUGAAGAAGGAGGCAGUGGGAAAACUGUGUUUGUCUCAAGGCAGCAGCCUGAACCCAGGAGCAGAGGACCCAGUUUUUAUAAGGCCCUGGGAGAGGGUGGGCAGCUCCCACUGCCCCAAAGCAGAGCUGGAAGCACCCAGGUUGCCUACGGAAAAUCCAAUAAAAAGACACCAGUGUGAAUCCA